This 438-nucleotide ribosomal RNA is filed under the name Rheumatometroides sp. JD-2008. Its description in RNAcentral is "partial 16S ribosomal RNA". Lineage: Eukaryota; Metazoa; Arthropoda; Insecta; Hemiptera; Gerridae. The record is from RNAcentral.
GUUUUUUUGGAUUUUAUUUAAGAUUUGACCUGCCCAUUGAUUUUAUAUAUUAAAAGGCUGCGGUAUUUUAACUGUACUAAGGUAGCAUAAUAAUUUGUCUUUUAAUUGAAGGCUAGUAUGAAUGGUUUGAUGAAAAAUAAACUUUCUUAUUUUUAAUUAUUUGAAUUUAAUUUUUUAGUUAAAAAGCUAAAAUUUUUUUAUAGGACGAGAAGACCCUAUAGAAGUUUAUUUUAUUUAUAUUUAUGUUUUUUUGUUUAUAUAAAUUUUAUUUAGAAUGUAGAAUUUUGUUGGGGUGAUAUUAAAAUUUUUUUAACUUUUAAUUAUUUUUUCAUUAAUUUUUGUUUUUUUGAUCCAGUUUUAUUGAUUAAUAGAUUAACUUACCUUAGGGAUAACAGCGUAAUUUGUUUGGAGAGUUCAUAUUGAUAAACAAGUUUGCGA